UACGGGGGGGUAAGCGUUGUUCGGAAUUACUGGGCGUAAAGGGCUCGUAGGCUGCCAACUAAGUCAUACGUGAAAUCCCUCAGCUUAACUGGGGAACUGCGUGUGAUACUGGAUGGCUUGGAUUUGGGAGAGGGAUGCGGAAUUCCAGGUGUAGCGGUGAAAUGCGUAGAUAUCUGGAGGAACACCGGUGGCGAAGGCGGCAUCCUGGACCAAUAUUGACGCUGAGGAGCGAAAGCUAGGGGAGCAAACGGG
RNAcentral lists this ribosomal RNA (252 nucleotides) under uncultured bacterium. Its description in RNAcentral is "partial 16S ribosomal RNA". It matches the Rfam family "Bacterial small subunit ribosomal RNA", at positions 524 to 776 of the family's 1533-position model. The record is from RNAcentral.